AUCGGUCGAAACUGUACGUCUUGUUUGACGUCAUCGGCUGUAACAGAAAUUGAAAACACAGAGGAAAAAGGAUUUAUCAAGUCUCUGUUAAAACUGGAACUUGGUAUCACAUCUGACUCGCACUUCUGAAAUGGAUCAAAUCGGACUUUGUCGUCGAGACUCGGAAGAACCCAGCUGCGUAAAUUAUAAUGCCAGUGGAACUCAAAACAGAAAAGAUACUUGUAUGCAAGACAUGGAGAAAAGAGCAGACUACAGCCUCUAUAUACCAUUCCUUGGUGCCUCCUUUAAUUGAUGUAUU
This is a long non-coding RNA of Saccostrea cuccullata (small rock oyster), 298 nucleotides long. RefSeq lists it as uncharacterized. NCBI's taxonomy places the organism in Eukaryota, Metazoa, Mollusca, Bivalvia, Ostreida, Ostreidae. The record is from RefSeq and is a predicted model, not a curated record. The transcript is spliced from 3 exons.